Cyprinus carpio (common carp) is the source of this 1061-nucleotide long non-coding RNA. Lineage: Eukaryota; Metazoa; Chordata; Actinopteri; Cypriniformes; Cyprinidae. The record is from Ensembl.
AUUCUGUGAAUGUUUGUGUUAUUUUUGUCUGAUUUUAAAUCAUGAUGAGAGUGAGAUUUAUAAAACAAAAAAUAUCUCUGUGUGUGUGUCUGUCUGUCUGUCUGUGUUUUGUUCUUCAGGUCUGGAUCGGUUCUGGGACAAACUCAAUCUGCUGAUGGUGCUGGAUACUAGUAAAUAUGACUUGAAGAUAAUGAAGAGAAUAGAUAACAGAGCAGAUGAUCCACUUUGUAGAGUAAAAUAUGGCAGGAUUAGGGAAUGCAAUCUUUAUAAUAAAAGACCUGAAGUGACAGUCAUUAAUGGGACUCUGACAAUAAACCGUGUGAUCAGAGCAGAUUCAGGGAAUUACAGAUUAACACUCGAAACAUCUAGAGAUCUUCAAGUUAUUGUUGAAGCUCCUAUUGGCUCAGUGGAAGUGUCAAUCAUCUGCUCCUCCAGUGGGGUGAUGAGGGUGUUCUGCUCCUCUGAGGGGGAUCAGCUCCUCUACAGCUGGACUCUGAAUGGAGAUCCACUGAUGGAUGGAAACAGCAGCAUUGAUCUGGAUGAGGGAACUGAUGGAGACAUCAGCUGCAGCGUGAAGAACCACGUCAGUCACACACAGAAGACCAUUAGACUCAAACCCUGUCCUGGUGAGAUCAUGUCUGUUCAUCUACAGAUAUCAACUACACAGAUUGAUUGAUAGGUUGGUUGAUAGUUUGGUUGAUUGAUUGGUUGAUUGGUUGGUUGUGUUUGUGUUGUUUAGUGNUUGUUCUUUAACUUUAUUCUGUUAUGGUUGAUUUCUUUCAUUUACUGGUCUGUUUAGAUGUUUUAUCUGUUUUAAGAUCUUGAUCUGUUUCUCAGUUUUGUCAUGUCUGUGGUUUUGCUGUCUGUGGUUUGGUUUUGCUUGGUUUUGUAAUUGACUUUUAACGUAUAUUCAUUAUGCAUUAUUCAUGCAUUAUUCUUCACAAGAUAUUUGCAUCAUAUAACAUUGCUAAACAUGCCCUUUUUUAGACAUUGUAAACGGGGUCAUUGCUGAAUUUGUUUUUUGAGUUAAAUGUGAAAAUAAACCACUCUGAAAUGAAACA